AUCACCAAUUUCUUUUUGAAUGAAAUUGAAAUAAAUAAUUAUCUUAACAAGUACUCUGUAAAAUAAAAAAUGUAAUAAAAAUAAAAUAAAUAAUUAUCUUAACAACCUCUGAUGCCUUGCUGACGUAGUGACUACCAACCGACUCAACUUUCUUCUUGCAGUCGAGAAUCUCUGGAUCGUUCGCUCCCUCCCUCCCUCUCUCCGUCAAUUUCAGAUUUCAGAAUCGACUCGGUUUCUGAUGCUAUGGAGAACGCCGCUCCAGUUCCUCAAUCUGCUCCUCCUCCUUUUUCUUCAAAUCCCUCAGAUUCCCGCAACCGCCAACCACCGCAUCUCCGCUACUUGCAUUGCACCUGCUUCCGCCGCUGCUGCCGCUGUUUCUGCUGCUUCUACGCCUAAUCCUCACUCCUUUGCUACCAUAAACCUCUAGUUUGUUUGCUUAUGAGGAUGCAAUUCCAAUGCUGGGGAAAGCUACUUGAUUUCCUGAUGAGUUAUGCUCAAAUGAAGUGUCCACUGCUACAAAGGUGGAAUUCCAGGAUGAUUCACCACAAAACCCUAACAUCACUCUUUUCAUCCAGCCCCCAAUCAGCCCAAAGUAGCAGGAUGUGGUAGUCUCUAUUUUUACAAAGUAGCUGUAGGUCCACUAAGAAAAACAUUAAUGGCUGUCUAGGCUGGUCACUGGUGCUAUUAAGGAAACCUAUAUUGGCAACACCUCAUAUUCAGUUCAAUGAAGAAUUGAAGAUUAUGUAGGCUACUUGAGUCUUAAAAUUUAUUUAUCCUGUCCAUCAGGAGCUGUUUGAUGCAGAAUUUUCUCAAAAGUCCAUUUUUGAAUGGAGUAGCCAAAUAGUUGAAAAGGCCUGUAGGGUACGGGGUAACAAGGCUCCACGAGUUGCUUUCUACUAUGCAACACCAGAUCUGACAUUUCAACAUUCUAAAGGAUUUAUUAAUGUGAUAAGCUUGAAGCCGGCAUUUAUUCUCUUUAUGAUCCUUAUCACGCACACCCUUCCCUGUCACCUUUCAUAGUUAUGGGGCGCCUCCAUCUACCAGUUUGUUUUUUGCUUGCCUGAUUUAAAAAUAAAAUAAAAUAAAAUAAACUGUGACUCGUUUUCUUGAUUAUACUGAGCAUUGAAUAGCUUGUGAUGUACAGCUGGUUUCAUGGACAGUUGGGAAUUGGGAUAACUUAGCUUGGUGUGUGAUGGAUGCUAAGAUUGUAACAGAAA
Long non-coding RNA from Ipomoea triloba (trilobed morning glory), 1217 nucleotides. RefSeq lists it as uncharacterized. The record is from RefSeq and is a predicted model, not a curated record. The transcript is spliced from 4 exons. Lineage: Eukaryota; Viridiplantae; Streptophyta; Magnoliopsida; Solanales; Convolvulaceae.